UACAGAGGAUGCAAGCGUUAUCCGGAAUGAUUGGGCGUAAAGCGUCUGUAGGUGGCUUUUUAAGUCCGCCGUCAAAUCCCAGGGCUCAACUCUGGACAGGCGGUGGAAACUACCAAGCUGGAGUACGGUAGGGGCAGAGGGAAUUUCCGGUGGAGCGGUGAAAUGCGUAGAGAUCGGAAGGAACACCAGUGGCGAAGGCGACUACCUGGCCUGUUCUUGACGCUGAGGCGCGAAAGCUAGGGGAGCAAACGGG
This 253-nucleotide ribosomal RNA is filed under the name uncultured bacterium. RNAcentral's name for it is "partial 16S ribosomal RNA". It matches the Rfam family "Bacterial small subunit ribosomal RNA", at positions 524 to 776 of the family's 1533-position model. The record is from RNAcentral.